GCUUCUCCCAAUCUGACAGGAAAGAAUUUCAUGAAACUUGGAAAAAGUUUAGAGAUUUACUCCGAAAAUGCCCGCAUCAUCAAAUACCCAAGUGGCAAUUAAUGCAAUGCUUUUAUGACAGGUUGUCUAAACGAAACCGUCAAAUAGUUGAUGCUUCUUGUGGAGGAACUUUCAUGCUUAAAAGUAAACAUGAGGCAUGGCAAUUGUUUGAAAAUCUCAAUAAAAAUUUUCUCCACCAUGCCUCCUCCGCUCGUCAAGCACCCCCGAGUUUCCAAAGAAAAGGGACCAUAUAU
This 293-nucleotide long non-coding RNA is filed under the name Phoenix dactylifera (date palm). RNAcentral describes it as "long non-coding RNA (PDAC_LNC005713)". Lineage: Eukaryota; Viridiplantae; Streptophyta; Magnoliopsida; Arecales; Arecaceae. The record is from RNAcentral.